This 3023-nucleotide long non-coding RNA is filed under the name Equus caballus (horse). RNAcentral's name for it is "lncRNA (ENSECAG00000043926.1)". Lineage: Eukaryota; Metazoa; Chordata; Mammalia; Perissodactyla; Equidae. The record is from RNAcentral.
GGAAAAUGUGCCGUUCUUGGUAACUCAGAAAGUUUCUCAGUCUGCUUUCUGCCUGUAGAAAGUUGCAGGCUGUGAUGGUUAAUUUAUAUAUCAACUUGGCUAGUUCACGGUACCCAGCGGUUUGGUCAAACAUUAUUCUAGAUGUUUUUGUGAAGAAAUUCUUUAGAUGAAAUUAACAUUUAAAUCAGUGGACUUUGAGUAAAGCAGAUUGCCUUUCAUGACGUGGUUGGCCUCAUUCAGUCUGUUGAAGGCCAUAACAGAAAAAAGAUUGAUCUCCUCCAGAGAGAUCAGCAGACGGCCUUCAGACUCAAGCUGCAACACGGACACUUCCCUGGGUCUCCAGCCUGCCUGCUGGCCCUGUAGAUUUUGGACUUACUAGCUUCAACAAUCAUAGUUUGAACAAGGCUGAUUUGUCCAGGAGGGAAUUAAAGGAUGUGAUCAACAAAUUAGCACACGCCGAACUAAAAACCGGUGGAUUUUGCUUCUUCUGACUUCGGAAGUGACUUACUGCUCUGUCGGCUAAUCUCCCCAGCAAGGCUGUUUGCUUUGCAGCUAAGCUCAAUCAGCAUAUCAAUGGGAGUCCAAUCAGGAAAACAGAAACGUCUUGAAAUUGAUCUGUGAUUGCCUUGGCAGGUACAAAAUGGUCAAAUACUGGUGACCUAAUAUGGCUCACCUCAUAUUUCCACCUGUUUCCUGCCAUUGCCUUCCCAAGGCCAAACCCUGCUGGAAUGCAGCUGACAGGGGAGCCCAGCCUGCAGUGCUGAGCAGGGGAAGGAAGGAAAUGCUCUCGGAUCAGGGGGCUGAGGCUCCACGCAGAGGCCGGAAACUUAGAAGAAAUGUCUGGGGCAUCACAGCCAGAUGAAGACUGGGUAGGCUUCCACGAAAAGCGCUUCUCCGAAAGACCCUGGAAAAAGUGCCUCUGCAGGUGGAUUCCUUCCCUAAUUCCCCGCCAGCUGCUCUAAAGUCACUCCUCUAACUCCUGGUGGCUGCAGAUUUGGCCACCCCCGAGACAUGAAGUCAUUGGCAAGCUUGAAAUAUGGACACCUUAUCAUGAUUAAUCCUCUUCCACAUCUAUAAUUCAUAACGUUGAAGAGGAAGCGGAGGAAGAAAGAACUUUUGGAAAGGGUAAUGCUUUUAUGCAGCAAGCUUUGUUGAGUUUAUUUAAAGAUUAUGCAUAUUUUGUUUGCUUUUUAUGCCGUUAAAAUGUUCAGGGAGGGAAGAAAGUUGGAACAGCUUGAGAAAUAUCCGGCAGAAUUCCAUGGUACAAUGGAGAAACCAUCCAGAAAUCGAGAGCGGUCCUGCUAGAAUCAUCUGGGAGCAAGCUGGGAGGAGUCCUCAGGAGCUGCAGAAAGGACAGCUAAUGAAGAACACUGGGCUGGACACUGGGCAGAGUGGGUGACAAGCUCCUCAAAGCAUUCCUGACUAAGACAAUGUGCAAAAUAAGAAAUACAAAUGGCCAAUAGGAUAUGAAAAAAAUUCAGCUUCAAUGAUAAACAAAGGAAUGGAAUUUGGCAAAGAUGUUGAAAUGAUGAUCACACUGCGUGCUGGUAGGAUGUUGUGAGAUAAGUAUUCUCAUUUCCUGCUGGUGACAUUAUAAACUGGUACGGGGUUUCUCCAAAGAUGUGGAUGAAGCUAUGAAGAGCCUUCAAAAUAUUACUACCCUUUGACCAAGUAAUUUCACUCUUGGGAAUUAUCCAAAGGAAAUAGCAACAAGGACACAGACUUACAUGCAUUGUGAUCCAAACUCCGUAAGAAAGAAAAAAAAAGGUAUCUUCAUAGAUAUGUAGACUGCAGGAAAUAAGACAAAAACGUUUGGAAUUGUUAUCUCUUGUUUUGAGUGAUAUUUUGUUUUUUCUUUUUCAAAUUUUUUAGAAAGAACAUGUUUAUUUGGAAAUUAGGAAAACACAACAAAAGUCACUUAAAAGACUAAUACCACCGAAUGCUCACAUCUCUGUCCUUAGAAUUUUUCUACUUUUGUGGAAAUAACAGCCAAGUAUCUUCAGAGUCUUUGGUUACAGGUCUUUCUUUUCAUUUACUUUUAAAUUUCUCACUGAGAGACAGAAUUUACCAGAGUCAUCCUGUGAAACGCUGGGGGUGACUGCACACAUUCAUAUGCUAUUCGAACUGGAUGAUGGUCCUGGGAGGAAGCAGGUCCCGGAGCCCCUGGCCGGCUGAUAGCUGUGUUCUGCAGGCAGUGGCAUCUCACCGUAGAAGCAGCGAGACCGGAUCGCAGCCUCCAGACAUCUUCUGGCAAGUUCUGGAGAAGUUUUGCAAUUAACCAGUGGAAUUGGCAUGAAUUGAAAGGAUGCGUAAGGAAAACAUCAGUUCCUGCUGUCAUACCGGCUUCAAGCUCCAGCACCAGAAACAACGACAACAGCCUCAUGGAGACUAUUUAACCAGCUCCUACAGCUGUGUACAGCAAACAUGGAUCUACUUUGCCAAGUCUUUUCCCAUGAUGCUGAUGCCUCCGCGCAGACCUUCUUGCUCCAUCGCUGUCUCUUUGCCCCUCCACCAUGCUGACCAGGACUGUUGCAAGAGACCCUCAACUGCUCUCCUUGCCUCCAUCCUCACCUCCUCGAAUUCCUUCUCUACACUUAAGCCACUGAGCCUUUUAAAAUGCAAAUCUGACUAUGUCACUCUUGGGGCCAAAAGCCACCCAUUGUGUCCAUUGGCCCUUUGGAUGAAAUUCAAAGCCAUAGUCCUGACUUCCUGGCCUGCACAACCUUGACUCCCUCCUCUUGGACCCUAUGUGUCAGCCCAGCCACUCUGAACUUCUUUCUAUAACUUCUGUGCUCACUCCCUUUGCCUGGAAACCACCUCCCCCCACUCCCCACUCUUCUACACCACCCGGGGGGAGCCUUGUCUAUGUUGUCCGUGUCCCGUCGUCACCCCCCAUCACGCCCCCACCGCCCCAGCUCAGUGUGAAUGCCCUUUCGUGAUCCCAUUAGAUGAUGUUGGGGGCUUCUGCUCUGUAUCCCAACUCCUCAAGCCCUACCCCCCUAAUAUAAUAAAAUUCAUGUCCG